RNAcentral lists this ribosomal RNA (304 nucleotides) under Bacillus pumilus. RNAcentral describes it as "bacterial SSU rRNA". It matches the Rfam family "Bacterial small subunit ribosomal RNA", at positions 613 to 911 of the family's 1533-position model. The record is from RNAcentral. Lineage: Bacteria; Bacillati; Bacillota; Bacilli; Caryophanales; Bacillaceae.
GGGGAGGGGUCCAAUUGGAACUUGGGCAUCUGAGUGCCAGAAAGAGGAGAGUGGAAAUUCCAACGUGUAGCGGUGAAAUGCGUAGAGAUGUGGAGGAACACCAGUGGCGAAGGCGACUCUCUGGUCUGUAACUGACGCUGAGGAGCGAAAGCGUGGGGAGCGAACAGGAUUAGAUACCCUGGUAGUCCACGCCGUAAACGAUGAGUGCUAAGUGUUAGGGGGUUUCCGCCCCUUAGUGCUGCAGCUAACGCAUUAAGCACUCCGCCUGGGGAGUACGGUCGCAAGACUGAAACUCAAAGGAAUU